This 5597-nucleotide long non-coding RNA is filed under the name Vigna radiata. RNAcentral's name for it is "long non-coding RNA (VRAD_LNC013489)". Lineage: Eukaryota; Viridiplantae; Streptophyta; Magnoliopsida; Fabales; Fabaceae. The record is from RNAcentral.
UGGCGAAUACCAAGGACAAUGUUACAGGAGAAAUGUGGUGAGCAGGGUGAGAGUAUGAUGAGCCAAGUAUAGAGAUGGAUCGGCUAAACCGAGAGAAGUUACACGAAACAAUGAAGUUGAUGGAUGAGAAGCACACUACGUCAGACUUCAAGCACAAACACAGGCAGUGGAAGUGAUGUCCAUGGCAGUGGAUGGAUAUGCGAUCUAUGGAGAUAUGGAAACGAAAGCUAUGCUUAGGAGGUGGCUACAACUCAGGCAGCCUUCCAUACAAGGAAGGAAGUUGUAGGGAAAGAUUUAAGCUAGGAAUGACUUUCAGAAGGAGAGAUGGCUGAAGCAAAUCUCAGCAGAAAUUCUCAUUUAUCUAAAAGUGAUUUUACAUGUGUUGCAAGAUGGAUUUAUAGGAAAUCCAAUGAGCUAUUGUGGUGUAGAUGGAUUCCGAGAGAAAUGGAUCUCCAUCCACGUGUCAAUGCAAGGAAAAUGUGUUGGCAUCUAGAAGCCUUAUUUACAAUGUGUGAAAAAUAAGAAACACGUGAUCUGAUGCUGAAAAGGAGAGACUUGACCGGGGGUGUGUUUAGCAAAGGAGGUUGUGCCACUAGCAACUUUAGCACUCAUGUGGACAGUUUUACCCCUUCUCUUGGUGUCUCCAAAUUCCACUUAAAAUUGUAUGAAGAGAACUUGCCUAUUUGGAUCCAUGUCCUCAAGCUCUUCUUGGAGUCUUCUAACCAUGCUUCUAGUAAUGGGUCCAUGACCCAAGUCAUCAUCCCCUCCCCCCUGGAAAGGAUUUGCCCUCAAAUCUGAUAGUUUGCUUGAGGACUUAUUUUUGUAGACUCCAUACAAGUUCCUCCUGGGUCAAAGAUCAAUCUACAAUAAGCAUCAAACAUAUUUCUAAUUAGUUUUCUAUGACCCAACAAGAUAUAUAAUAGAAAGUGUUUUGAAGAAAGUUUCUUAAUUUUAAAAUUUUCAGGUUUAAUACAAUAAAGAAACCUUUCUUUAUUUUUAUUUAUAUCUGGAGUUAGGGGUAACCAUAAAGGUAACCCUAACCGAAGUUGUGAAUUGCCAUGUGUUGAAAGUUUUAGCAUUUUGGAAGAUGACAUGGCAAAUUCUAGGAGAGAAAAGCAAAAAUUUGAAUUUUGACAAAUAAAUGGAUAAAAGUGAAAUGAUAGAAAACCUCCCCUUAAUAGUUUUGAUUCCAUUGUUGUUGGUGGCUAUAUUGCUCUUAGUUGCUUUUGUUCACUUUCUUCCAUUUCUUCUUUGUCUUUUCUUUCCUUUUCUUUUAUUCUCUCCUCCUCUUUUCUUCUCUCUUCUUUUCUCUCUUAUUCCUCUCUUUUUCUUCUCUCUUCUUCUAUCUCUUCUUCCUCUCUUUUUCUUCUCUCUUCUUCUCUUUCUUUUUCUUUUUCAUCCCUUUCCUUGUUAAGGUGCAUUUGUGCUUGAUCCUUCGCCACUUGUGAUGAUGAAAGAGGAUGAAGUACAAAUUUCUUCUCAUGAUGAUGCACAGUUAUUGUAUUGGUAAGACCAUUAUGAAUUAUUUUAUGAUCAAAUUGCCAUGGUCUUCCCAAUAACACAUGACAAGUUUCCAUUGGAACUACAUCACAUAAAACUUUGUUUUUAAAAUUGCCAAUAGAAAUUGUUACUGUGACUUGAUCUUUGACUGUGAUAUUCCAUCUUUAUUGAUCCAAUGUAUUUUAUAAGGUUUAGGAUGGGAUUGCACAACAAGAUUUAUUUUUUCAACCAAUCUAGUGCUACAACAAUUAGAGCACGAACCACUAUCAACAAUGAGAGAACAAGUGUUAUUUAGAAUUUGACACCUUGUGUGAAAAAGAGUCUCUCUUUGUGAUAGAUGUUCUUCACUGGAUUGAUUAUCAAAUAUUUUUUUGAUCAUGAGAAGUUGCCCUUCACAAGGAUAGACUUCCUCAGUAGUGGAUUUUUCUUGAUCACUCUCAUUCUCACUAUUGGAGGAUUCACUACUAUAACUGUCAAUGCCCCUCAAUAUGAUAGUUCUUUUGGUGGGACAUUGUGCAGCUAUAUGUCCUCUUCCUAGACAUUUAAAACACUUGAUCUCACUAGUGCGAGUGUGUGAAGAGGAUUCUUGUUUAGGUUUCUCAUCAAUUUUGGCUAGAGGAUUGAAAGGCUCCUUUUCUUUUAGACUUUUUCUUUCAAAAGAAGGUUGAACUUGAGCUCUCUUAAGAGAGGUUUUUCUCAAAUUUUGUUGCUCUACCUUGAUACACAUUUGGACAAGACUAUCCAAAUCUAUAUAAGGUAGUAAUUCAACCUUAUCUCUCAUUUCAUAAUUAAGCCCACUCAAAAAUCUAGCCAUUGUGAGUUCAUCUGUUUCCUCAAUUCUUGCCCUCAUCAUAUACAACUCCAUCUUUUGUCUAUAUUGUUCUACAUACAUAGAAUUUUGUUGGAGUCUUUGGAGUUUAUCCAUAAGCUCUCUAUGGUAAUAUGAUGGAAUAUGUCUCCUCCUAAGGGCAGUGAUCAAGUCAUUCCAAUAUUGUAUUGGAGGAUUUUGGUGGCGCCUUCUUUCUUCCACUAUGGCAGUCCACCAAUACAUGGCAUACCCUUGAAAGCCUAGGGUAGCUAGAGGAACCUUCCUUUCUUCACUAACUUGGUGGCAAGCAAAAAGUUGCUCCACCUUUAUUUGCCAAUCUAAGAAGGCCUCUACAUCAUCCUUUCCAUGGAAAUGAGGCAAGUUAAUAUUGACUUCUCUAGGGAGAGGAGGUUCUUGAAUUUCCCUCCUAUGUCUUCUAAAAGAAGAAUACUCUCCAUCAUAAUCUCCCAUUCUAAAAUUCUUUACCUCAUGGUGAGAAUCUUCACUCCUACUUCCCCUCAUUCUCCCUUGCUCAUCUCUCAUGACUCUCAACUCAUCUUGAAUUAUGGUGAUUUGCCUUUCCCUAUCUUGUUGAGCAUAAUCCAUCUUUCUUUCAGUAUCAAUUCUCCAUUGAGUUAGCUCUCUAAAUUGUUUUGAAAUAUCUUUGAGAGUAACUUGUUCCUCAGAAUCACUAACUCUUGGAGAUUGAUGUUUUGACAUUUUGUGAUUCUAAAAGUUUUCUUGUGUUACAAAUUACUUAGAUUUCACCUAAGAACAAAUUCCAGGUAAGGGAGGUGAACCACUAGGGUUGCUUAAGUACCAAGCCUUUUCCUUGCCAAAAAUGUUCUAGGCUACUUACUUAGUAGUUCUUACCCAAGAUUACUUCUAAGAUCACAAAAGAAGACUCAAAAACAAAGCAAAGAAGUAGGACUCUAAAUUCGGACUCUAGAAGCGAUCCCUAGACGAAAAAUUGAAAGCAAUUGGUAAAUUGAAGGAAACUUAAAGACAAUGGAAAAGUAAAGGUGAGGUCUCCUAGGUGAGGCUUAGACUUUGGAUCUAAGACACACUCAUCGUCUACCAAUUUUUAGUUUAUGAGACUUUAAGUCAAGUUAGCAAAUGAGAGAAGAACACUUAUGAGCUCUUCCACCUCACUUGCUUGAAAUGGCCAACUUACAAAAAUUGAAGAAAGAAACAAAAUACAAGGUGAAGAACACAAAGAAAUGAAAAUAGAGAAUAAUAAGGAAGUUUUAAUGUGGCAGCUUUGGUUGCUCUCAAUCAAAAUCUGAUGCAACAAUUAGCAUCUCACAAGGCUCACAGCUGCAAAGUGGAGUUUCUCUGCUGAGACAGUGAUCACACAGGAAUUCUGCUGUCACACUGCAAUGAUUUCACUAGCUGCAGCAGCACCAUUUCUCCAUUCCCGUCAGCCUUUCCUUGUGGCUUGUGUAAUCAAUCUCCUAACUUCCUUUGAUGCUUCCUUGCAUGUAUGGAGUCUGAGUUAAAGCACACCUACACAGCAGUCCAAUUCAGAACUUACACUGCAUCAUGCUACUGCCCGUAAUUACAACACAGACUGACACCAACACAUAACCUUUUAUCAAACAGGUUGUGUGCAAGAGUUCAAAAAAAAAAUUAACAUCAAAAAAUUAAGCAGGUUUUAAUCACGGAAGCACUUCAAAAGGAUCCUAGGAAUAGUUCUAGAUUAGAUUGGACGGACUUCAAUGAAUAACAGCAAGCAAUUGGACCAGAAAAGCAGUUUUCGAAAAAUAUCACAAAUUGUUUGUGAUAAUGCUUCAAAGAGCAGUCAACAUUAUGUAGAAUUGGUUAAUUCAGUCUCGGCAAUAACACUUUAUUGGAUGCAUUGGUUCUUUCAGCUUUUUAAUUUGACUUUCUUAUUGUUUGAAUCUUCUUAAUGAUAUUUUACAGAACCAAGCUUUUACUACAUCCCAAAAUUAACCGAUCAACCAAAUUCAAUAUGGCAAACAGAAUGUGUUACUGCACUACUACGGUCACAACAAAAAUUGAGUCAAAAUUUGGCAAGUCACAUAGGCAUUUUGCACAUAACAGCAAUUGGUCAGCUUAGACAGCUUCAAACAUGUUUGAAUGAUUAAAACAAACUUGUUUGAGCACAAUUUCAGUUAAAAUUCAUGGCAUAUCAAAAUUGGAGUAUGGCAGUUCUGGUUUAAGUCAUUUUAAGCAACUAUGACAGCCAAAUUUUGAAAACAAAUGUAAUUCAACUCAAACACAACAAGAGUGAACUUAGGACAAUCAAAGAAAAUUGCUCAAAGUGGCAGGAAAUGAUUUAGAUGGCUGGAUAUGAUCUAAAGUACUUUAGCCAGUUUUACACGCAGAAAGGAAUCAACUAAGUCAAGUGCAGAUCGGUUAACUGCAAGUAUCAAAGUAUUCUGACUUUGCACACUCAUUUCAUGCCUAAAACAAUUUUCAUUAUGGAACAACUUUCAUGUAACACGAGAAUUAUGUAGACACAAGUCACUUAACAGUUCCAAACAAUGAAACAGUACACAUAACAAUUGUAGGCAAUGAAACAGUACCACUGAAUUUCAAAAAUAGAUGCAGUGUGAUCUGUUAUGGAUCUACUAAAUUCUCAAAGAUUAUCACCAAUUCAUACACAUGAGCUCAUCAUCUCAAUUGUCAUCGCUCAUAUAUUGUGUAGAGACAUGUAUCUCAUACAGAUUUUCAGUACAAACGCAGAUCACAUGGUUUUCAACCAGAUUUUAAACAAAAAUGGAGUUGCACAUGACAUAUGACAUAACAGGAUGGAUGCUCAAAUUAAAAAUGACUCAACCAAAAAUUUCAACCGAUUAAAAUGAACAGACUCAAUCAAUUAAAAAAAAAUAGCACGGUUCAAGACUCAAAGAUCCUAAAAAUGUCAAAACCAAUGAAACAGUAACAGGAAUCAACAGAGACAGUGAAGGAAUGGUGGUGACAGAAUUUAAAUUGCAGAAAGAUGAACUUAUCUCACGGCUCCAGCAUCCUUGCUCUGAAUACCACUUGAUGAGCCAAGUAUGGAGAUGGGUCGGCUGCACCGAGAGAAGUUCCACGAAACAGUGAAGUUGAUGGAUGAGAAGCACACUACGUCAGACUUCAAAUAGAAACACAGGCAGCGGAAGUGAUGUCCAUGGCAGUGGAUGGAUAUGCAAUCUAUGGAGAUAUGGAAACGGAAGCUAUGCUUAGGAGGUGGCUACAACUCAGGCAGCCUUCCAUACAAGGAAGGAAGUUGUAGGGAAAGAUUUAAGCUAGGAAUGACUUUCAGAAGGAGAGAUGGCUGAAG